AACGCAAAUGGCGCCAUGCAAACAAUGCACGGCAUGACUGUUUGAGUGUGGUUUAGAUGUUACUACCAUGGUAGUAGACAUGGCCGUGACAAGGUCUCGGCUCAGAUUCAUUUGUGCUGCGCCAGCGUGGCAGUGUGCUAGUGGGCGACUGUCCAAGGUCACUGUCUGUUGGUGCAUUUGAGCACAGAGUACACACGUGCACAUGUACACAUGUACACACGUACACAUACAUCACGUACACAUACUUACGCCUCAAAUCAGUCAGGGCUACCCGCUGAACUUAA
RNAcentral lists this unclassified non-coding RNA (284 nucleotides) under uncultured fungus. RNAcentral's name for it is "partial internal transcribed spacer 2". Lineage: Eukaryota; Fungi. The record is from RNAcentral.